UGGGGAAUAUUGGGGCAAUGGGGCGAAAGCCUGACCCAGCAACGCCGCGUGAGGGAAGAAGGGUUUCGGCUCGUAAACCUCUGUCCUGUGGGACGAAGGAAGUGACGGUACCAUAGGAGGAAGCCCCGGCUAACUACGUGCCAGCAGCCGCGGUAAUACGUAGGGGGCGAGCGUUAUCCGGAUUUAUUGGGUUUAAAGGGUGCGCAGGCGGCGCGCCAAGUCAGCGGUCAAAGUUCCGGGCUCAACCCGGUGUCGCCGUUGAAACUGGCGUGCUCGAGUGCGUGCGAGGAAGGCGGAAUGCGUUGUGUAGCGGUGAAAUGCAUAGAUAUGACGCAGAACUCCGAUUGCGAAGGCAGCUUUCCAGCGCGAUACUGACGCUGAGGCACGAAAGCGUGGGGAUC
This 401-nucleotide ribosomal RNA is filed under the name uncultured Porphyromonadaceae bacterium. Its description in RNAcentral is "bacterial SSU rRNA". It matches the Rfam family "Bacterial small subunit ribosomal RNA", at positions 355 to 769 of the family's 1533-position model. Lineage: Bacteria; Pseudomonadati; Bacteroidota; Bacteroidia; Bacteroidales; Porphyromonadaceae. The record is from RNAcentral.